Molecule: ribosomal RNA, 253 nt
Filed under: uncultured bacterium
Lineage: Bacteria
Description: partial 16S ribosomal RNA
Rfam family: Bacterial small subunit ribosomal RNA
Source: RNAcentral
UACGGAGGGUGCGAGCGUUAAUCGGAAUAACUGGGCGUAAAGGGCACGCAGGCGGGCAAUUAAGUGAGGUGUGAAAUCCCCGGGCUUAACCUGGGAAUUGCAUUUCAGACUGGGAGUCUAGAGUACUUUAGGGAGGGGUAGAAUUCCACGUGUAGCGGUGAAAUGCGUAGAGAUGUGGAGGAAUACCGAUGGCGAAGGCAGCCCCUUGGGCAAGGACUGACGCUCAUGUGCGAAAGCGUGGGGAGCAAACAGG